CCUACGGGUGGCAGCAGUAGGGAAUAUUGCUCAAUGGGGGAAACCCUGAAGCAGCAACGCCGCGUGGAGGAUGAAGGUUUUCGGAUUGUAAACUCCUUUUGUUAGAGAAGAUAAUGACGGUAUGUAACGAAUAAGCACCGUCUAACUCCGUGCCAGCAGCGGCGGUAAUACGGAGGGUGCAAGCGUUACUCGGAAUCAAUGGGCGUAAAGAGGGCGUAGGCGGGAUAGCAAGUCAGAUGUGAAAUCCUAUGGCUUAACCAUAGAACUGCAUUUGAAACUGUUAUUCUAGAGUAUGGGAGAGGUAGGUGGAAUUCUUGGUGUAGGGGUAAAAUACGUAGAGAUCAAGAGGAAUACUCAUUGCGAAGGCGACCUGCUAGAACAUAACUGACGCUGAUGCGCGAAAGCGUGGGGAGCAAACAGGAUUAGAUACCCCAGUAGUC
Molecule: ribosomal RNA, 440 nt
Filed under: uncultured bacterium
Lineage: Bacteria
Description: partial 16S ribosomal RNA
Rfam family: Bacterial small subunit ribosomal RNA
Source: RNAcentral